RNAcentral lists this ribosomal RNA (513 nucleotides) under uncultured bacterium. RNAcentral's name for it is "partial 16S ribosomal RNA". It matches the Rfam family "Bacterial small subunit ribosomal RNA", at positions 27 to 507 of the family's 1533-position model. The record is from RNAcentral.
GGAUGAACGCUGGCGGCGUGCCUAAUACAUGCAAGUCGAACGAAACUUCUUUAUCACCGAGUGCUUGCACUCACCGAUAAAGAGUUGAGUGGCGAACGGGUGAGUAACACGUGGGCAACCUGCCCAAAAGAGGGGGAUAACACUUGGAAACAGGUGCUAAUACCGCAUAACCAUAGUUACCGCAUGGUAACUAUGUAAAAGGUGGCUAUACUACCGCUUUUGGAUGGGCCCGCGGCGCAUUAGCUAGUUGGUAGGGUAAAGGCUUACCAAGGCAAUGAUGCGUAGCCGAAUUGAGAGGUUGAUCGGCCACAUUGGGACUGAGACACGGCCCAAACUCCUACGGGAGGCAGCAGUAGGGAAUCUUCCACAAUGGGCGAAAGCCUGAUGGAGCAACGCCGCGUGGGUGAAGAAGGUCUUCGGAUCGUAAAACCCUGUUGUUAGAGAAGAAAGUGCGUGAGAGUAACUGUUCACGUUUCGACGGUAUCUAACCAGAAAGCCACGGCUAACUACGUG